Bubalus bubalis (water buffalo) is the source of this 726-nucleotide long non-coding RNA. RefSeq lists it as uncharacterized. The record is from RefSeq and is a predicted model, not a curated record. Lineage: Eukaryota; Metazoa; Chordata; Mammalia; Artiodactyla; Bovidae. The transcript has 4 exons.
CCAGUUGUCGCCCAGGGGCGGGGCCCCGCGGCGUUUGCCGGAAGUUGUAGGCACGCGUGCUCAAGCGCCACGCUGAAGCGUUUUUGGGUCUGCGUCUCAUGUGGGCUCCCUGGCGUUGCUCACUGAAGGUUCUCAUACAUGCUCCUUGCGGCUCUUGCAGCUGUUGUUUCUUCUUUCAGAGAAAUAAUGCUGGCUAAUAGCGCCUCAGGCAAAAAAUAAAACCUUGCCAGAAAAUAGACUCCUGGAGGACGAAAUGUCAUAGCCUUCCUGAUGUGACCCUGCGGACUGACUCGCUCGCUCUGUCUGUUAUGUAAGUCAUAUACAGUAUAGGCCAGAAGCAAACACCAAGAUGGGAGUAUACAUAUAUGUGCUUUGUCAGGGAAAUGCCUGUGUGGAAACAUCUCAGGGAACCAGAGGAGGCUGGGAGUCUCAGACCGUGAGGAAGGGGAUCUUCUCAACCCAAGGAUGGAACUGGCGUGUCUUACAUCUAACCUGCACUGGCAGGUGGCGAGGUUUCGUGGUAAACCUGCAUUUACCACUAGCGCCACCUGGGAAAGCCCAAAAAGUGGGAACCAAACUUCUGACUAUAACCAGCCACGUGGACCUGGUGAGAACCAGACUCUUCUGAAACUGAUGUGAGUCUCUGUUUUCUCAAAUCUCAGAAAGCUGGUAACAGAUACUACUAUUGUUAAUACAUGGAUUAAAGGUGUUGAUUCAUUCCAUACA